RNAcentral lists this ribosomal RNA (827 nucleotides) under Chalaropsis thielavioides. RNAcentral describes it as "partial large subunit ribosomal RNA". It matches the Rfam family "Eukaryotic large subunit ribosomal RNA", at positions 75 to 931 of the family's 3401-position model. Lineage: Eukaryota; Fungi; Ascomycota; Sordariomycetes; Microascales; Ceratocystidaceae. The record is from RNAcentral.
UUGCCCUAGUAACGGCGAGCGAAGCGGCAACAGCUCAAAUUUGAAAUCUGGCUACUUUGUAGUCCGAGUUGUAAUUUGUAGAGGAUGCUUUUGGUGAGGUGCCUUCCGAGUUCCCUGGAACGGGACGCCAGAGAGGGUGAGAGCCCCGUACGGUUGGAUACCAAACCUUUGUAUAGCUCCUUCAACGAGUCGAGUAGUUUGGGAAUGCUGCUCUAAAUGGGAGGUAUAUCUCUUCUAAAGCUAAAUAUAGGCUAGAGACCGAUAGCGCACAAGUAGAGUGAUCGAAAGAUGAAAAGCACUUUGAAAAGAGAGUUAAACAGCACGUGAAAUUGUUGAAAGGGAAGCGCCUAUGACCAGACUUGUUUCUUUCAGUUUUGUUAGUUCUCGGACUGAUUUACUCUGUUAGUACAGGCCAGCAUCAGUUUGUUGUCGGGGAGAAAGGCUUAGGGAAUGUGGCUCCUUCGGGAGUGUUAUAGCCCUUUGCAUAAUACCCUUCGGCAGACUGAGGACCGCGCUUCGGCAAGGAUGCUGGCGUAAUGGUCAUCAGCGACCCGUCUUGAAACACGGACCAAGGAGUCAACCUUAUGUGCGAGUGUUUGGGUGUAAAACCCCAGCGCGUAAUGAACGUGAACGUAGGUGAGAGCUUCGGCGCAUCAUCGACCGAUUCUGAUGUUCUCGGAUGGAUUUGAGUAAGAGCACACAGGGUUGGACCCGAAAGAAGGUGAACUAUGCUUGUAUAGGGUGAAGCCAGAGGAAACUCUGGUGGAGGCUCGCAGCGGUUCUGACGUGCAAAUCGAUCGUCAAAUAUGAGCAUGGGGGCGAAAGAC